GUUUAAUAUCGGGGGUGUCGGCGCAAAAGCCGGCUGAGAUUAAGGAUAAAUGCUCCUUUGACCCUUUAACCUGAUACGGAUAAUGCCGUCGUAGGUAGUAUAAUCUCAGCCUUAC
Molecule: non-coding RNA, 115 nt
Filed under: Eubacterium sp.
Lineage: Bacteria; Bacillati; Bacillota; Clostridia; Eubacteriales; Eubacteriaceae
Also listed under: 1 other name
Description: TPP sequence
Rfam family: TPP riboswitch aptamer (THI element)
About the family: Vitamin B(1) in its active form thiamin pyrophosphate (TPP) is an essential coenzyme that is synthesised by coupling of pyrimidine and thiazole moieties in bacteria. The previously detected thiamin-regulatory element, thi box was extended, resulting in a new, highly conserved RNA secondary structure, the THI element, which is widely distributed in eubacteria and also occurs in some archaea. Analysis of operon structures identified a large number of new candidate thiamin-regulated genes, mostly transporters, in various prokaryotic organisms.
Source: RNAcentral